AUGAGGUUCUCUGCUCAGCUCCUGGGGUUGCUAAUACUCUGGGUCCCAGGAUCCACUGGGGACACAGUUUUGACCCAGACCCCACUCUCUCUGUCUGUCAUCCCUGGAGAGUCGGCCUCCAUCUCUUGCAAGUCUAGUCAGAGCCUCCUACAUGGUAAUGGAAACACCUAUUUGCAUUGGUACCUGCAGAAGCCAGGCCAGUCUCUUCAGCGCCUGAUCUCUAUGGUUUCCAAUCGGGCAUCUGGGGUCCCAGACAGGUUCAGUGGCAGCGGGUCUGGGACAGAUUUCACCCUUAUAAUCAGCAAGUUGGAAGCUGAGGAUGUUGGAGUUUAUUACUGCAUGCAAGCUACACAAAGUCCCCCCACAGUGGUACAGCCCAGAACACAAACCACCCUGCCUGGGGUGGUAACUGCCCCAAAUUGUGGGAAUUCUCUGGGGAAGAGCACAGCAGAAUCUCUGAGGCUGUGUAAGAGGAAGACACUGGAGAACUCAGGGGAAUGGGAUGCAGCUGAGGGCUCUGGGCCAUGCUUGCUGGGGUACACCUCAGGCACCACACAUUAA
Molecule: non-coding RNA, 561 nt
Organism: Equus caballus (horse)
Lineage: Eukaryota; Metazoa; Chordata; Mammalia; Perissodactyla; Equidae
Source: the annotation of a RefSeq genome assembly